Molecule: ribosomal RNA, 460 nt
Filed under: uncultured bacterium
Lineage: Bacteria
Description: partial 16S ribosomal RNA
Rfam family: Bacterial small subunit ribosomal RNA
Source: RNAcentral
CCUACGGGUGGCAGCAGUGAGGAAUAUUGGUCAAUGGGCGGAAGCCUGAACCAGCCAAGUCGCGUGAGGGAAUAAGGCCCUACGGGUCGUAAACCUCUUUUGCCGGGGAGCAAGGGCGGGGACGUGUCCCGGCCCGGACAGUACCCGGAGAAAAAGCAUCGGCUAACUCCGUGCCGGCAGCCGCGGUAAUACGGGGGAUGCGAGCGUUAUCGGGAUUUAUGGGGUUUAAAGGGUGCGUAGGCGGGCUUUUAAGUCAGCGGGAAAAAUCCGGGGCUCACCCCCGUGCGGCCGUUGAAACUGGGGGGCUUGAGUGGGCGAGAAGAAGGCGGAAUGCGUGGUGUAGCGGUGAAAUACAUAGAUAUCACGCAGAACCCCGAUUGCGAAGGCAGCCUUCCGGCGCCCUACUGACGCUGAGGCACGAAAGUGUGGGGAUCGAACAGGAUUAGAUACCCGGGUAGUC